Molecule: long non-coding RNA, 1682 nt
Organism: Meriones unguiculatus (Mongolian gerbil)
Lineage: Eukaryota; Metazoa; Chordata; Mammalia; Rodentia; Muridae
Exons: 5
Source: RefSeq, a predicted model, not a curated record
AGGCUAAAAACAGCUGUAUUCAAUACAGUGGUUAAAAAAAUAUAAUGCUGGUAAAGAAGACCAAAUGUUGGAACUGGCUGCAGAUCAAAGCACGGCAGGAUGAAAGCGAAGCACAAGGAAGAGAAAACUCCAGGAGGUCCUCCAGAGCCUGAACCAGAUGGAUGACUUUAUCCUGACAGCCCGAGGAAACCAACCCACGGCCAGUGUGUGCUUGUGCACGUGGGAACCAGGAACAGGAGCCAUGAUUUUACAUGACGCUCUCGCUCUGAGGGAAAAUGUGCCGCUAUGCUACUGUUGUCUCCACCCGUCUUCUCCUCUCUAGUGAGUGGCAGUGCCUCAGCAGAGGCUCCUUGUCAUUUUAGAGAAGCCCUGUCAACGCACCAUCAUCUUGUGUCCACGCAUGCGCACACACCUGCGCAGUGUCCGCGAACAUGUCUCCCUCCCAAGAGGGUUAGCCGAUAAUCUCAGUUCCCUGUGUCUGGCACAAGGAAGGAACAACAUAUUUGUGUACUGAGUACAAGACUGAAUAGCCUGGAUGUGAGAGAGGCACCAAGACCUAACAUUAAAAACCCAAGACGGCUCAAAGCUCCAGCUUAACUCUCGCACCAGUUACGAAUGUGCAAAAGUAAACAAGUCACAACCUAGAGGAGCCUCGGGACUGUAGAGCAGGGAUCAUGAAACUUGCCUGCCCAGCUGAAAGAAAUAUUGGAAGCUAAGUGAGGGGAAGAACAGUGUGAUGGUUAGCGUCCUGUGCCAAUGUGGCUGGGCUGCAGCGCUCUGUUAUUUAAUCAAAUACUGAAUUAAUCUGGGUGUCACCGCGGAAGUAUUUGUAAAUAUGGUUCACAUCUACAGUCGGUUUGACUUUGCAUAAAAGGAAAUUGCUCUGUCUGGUCGCUGCAGGCCACCGUUGGAAAGCUUUAGAAGCAAGGCACUGAGUUUUCUCAGCAAACUUGAUCAGCUUUUGCCUGAGCCUGGAGCCUACAGGCUUGCCUUCUUGCUUACCAUCACCGCAUUUUUCUCCUCAGUCAAGGCAUAAGAAUGUUGCUGAAAUUCUUUCUCUGGGGGAGAUGUAAAGCAAUGUCUAACCCUCUUCCUGAAGUCCUUAGACAAACCAACAAACAGAGGCAUGAUUCUACCAGAGCUCACUCUGGAAAGCCAACUAAUUUCCUGGGCUUUCUUGCAGAGCUUGUGUGAGAAGUUACUCACAGGGAUGUGGGCACCCCACCUUCUGCAGUACCCGAAAAGCCUUACCCAGCAGGGAAAAGGGCUUCCUCAGAAGCGUGUUGAUGAGUCCCUCCAACCCUUGUCUUCACCUGCUUCUACAUACUCUAGCCCCCGCCCCAGGGCAGGUGCAGCAUUUUCAGAUAAAGGGAGCAGCUGUAUACUCAGGAGAAGAUCUUGUGUCUUACCCCCACAGUGCAAACCGUUGAUAAGCCAGCUGGGAUGAUUUUUCACAAGAGCAGUGCAUCUGAUCUCACCCAGAUGGCAGUUUCUUGGCACAUAGGACAAUCAUGGAAGAAGGUUCUUGGGGCUCAGAUACAGGCCUCGUGCCUGGAAAUGAUGGAGUCUGCAGCCGAGGCGCGUCUGAGUGGGUCUUCUUACAGACACUGCUUGCCCUUCACCCAUCCCUCCCACUUUCCCACACUCCCCCCUCCCACGCCACAGGCAUUUUAUGACAGAAU